GUUGGGUGCAGCGGGGAGCCCGGGGCUGGGCCGGCGGUGCUGUGGCCGCGACGCUCCCCCCGCUGCACGGGGCCGGGCCCGUCCCCUCCCACCGCAGCCCCGUGCGUGGAGCCAAGUUCAAACCGCCAGCCCUGGCGGAGCGGGACGCGACGUGGGGCCAACCUGGGGGCCCCCAACGCCUGCGGGGCUCCAUGCUUCUCCCCAGGGCUCUCUCCUGUGCUGUGCUGCUGCUGCUGCUCGCCACCGUGCUGGGCAGGGGCUGGAGGUGCAGCAUCGCCAGGAUCCUGCGGCAGUACCGAGCUGUCAUCUUCCACGAGAUCCAGAACCUGAAAAACCUGAGUGGGUCGGCAGAGAGGAGCAGUCGGGCUGGGCCAGUGUGCCGCUCUGACAAGGACCAGAGGAUCCUGCAGUCCAUCUACAACAUCAGCAUGUCUCUGCGGGACGUGGCGGGCGGUGCUCUGCGGGGCCCUGAGGAGGCAGCAGUGUGGAAGGUGGUCCGGGACACGGAGUUUGUGCUCAGGGAGAAUUGCCGGCGUAUUGGCAAGAGCCCCCCGCGCCCCUCACAGCAGCCACAGCGCAGGAGGCAGCAGCUGAAGGAGAUCUCACGGAAGGCACAGAGGCUGGCCACGUGCUGGGAGAAGCUCAACGUGUUGCACGCGGCCCCCCGGGACUCAUAGGGGACACCCCAACACCUCAUCCUCCAUCUGGGUUCAUGGCUGCUGGCAUCCUGCAUCGAACCCUGAGGUGAAUCGAAUCCCACAGCUGGCUCAGCAGAUACGGGCAGGUGCCCAGGUUGGCCCUCCUGGCCCAUAUGGUACCCAUGGACCACAUGUGGGGCACAACCCGAAACCUGGGGAAGAAGGGAUGAAGUGCAGAAAACUGAGAUGCAGUGAUUUCUGUGCUGCUCCUCACCCUGCAUCCCCUCCCCCUGCUGCCCUGUGAGGACACCAGCUGCUUUCCUGGGCAGAAAGAGGACAAUGUGAGCCACUGGGCUGAGAGUUCUGCUGGCACCGGAGUGCUGUGUAUCCGUGGGCAGAAGGAUGUGCAUCCCUAGUGAGUGUGGCUCUGGGACUGGGAGAGCUGCCCUGGGUCCCUGGCUGUGUGAUGGGGACCUGGGGGGUGCAGUGGGAUAAACAUCUGGGGAAUGGAGGGUCAGUGUGAGCACAGCUGGGAGGAACCCUUAGGGGAAGUGCAGCCCUAAAGGCUGUGCCCCAUCCCUUGGUUGGAGUAUGGGCUGUGCGAGACCAGAAAUAAAUUCUCUCCUGGCUCUGCA
RNAcentral lists this long non-coding RNA (1273 nucleotides) under Phasianus colchicus (ring-necked pheasant). Its description in RNAcentral is "lncRNA (ENSPCLG00000000412.1)". The record is from RNAcentral. Lineage: Eukaryota; Metazoa; Chordata; Aves; Galliformes; Phasianidae.